AAAAAGGGCUUCUGCCGUGAGUGACACACAUGACAGCAUGCUUGCUCUGGUGCAGAAUUGACAACAAGAGAUUUCAGAAGCAUAAAUUAUUUUGACAGUAGAGCAGCUGGUGAUCAUUGGUCCUGGAACUCCA
Molecule: small nuclear RNA, 133 nt
Organism: Sorex fumeus (smoky shrew)
Lineage: Eukaryota; Metazoa; Chordata; Mammalia; Eulipotyphla; Soricidae
Product: U11 spliceosomal RNA
Exons: 1
Source: RefSeq, a predicted model, not a curated record